RNAcentral lists this ribosomal RNA (920 nucleotides) under uncultured archaeon. Its description in RNAcentral is "bacterial SSU rRNA". It matches the Rfam family "Archaeal small subunit ribosomal RNA", at positions 1 to 922 of the family's 1478-position model. The record is from RNAcentral.
UUCCGGUUGAUCCUGCCGGAGGUCAUUGCUAUCGGGAUUCGAUUUAGCCAUGCUAGUCGCACGAGUUCAUACUCGUGGCAGAUAGCUCAGUAACACGUGGCCAAACUACCCUAUGGAGGACCAUAACCUCGGGAAACUGAGGCUAAUAGUCCAUACGACUCUCUCCCUGGAACUGGGUUGAGUCAGAAACGCUACGGCGCCAUAGGAUGUGGCUGCGGCCGAUUAGGUAGACGGUGGGGUAACGGCCCACCGUGCCUAUAAUCGGUAUAGGUUGUGAGAGCAAGAGCCUAGAGACGGAAUCUGAGACAAGAUUCCGGGCCCUACGGGGCGCAGCAGGCGCGAAAACUUUACACUGCACGACAGUGCGAUAAGGGAAUCCCGAGUGCGAGGGCAUAGAGCCCUCGCUUCUCUGAACCGUAGGGUGGUUCAGGAACAAGAACUGGGCAAGACCGGUGCCAGCCGCCGCGGUAACACCGGCAGUUCGAGUGAUGACCGAUUUUAUUGGGCCUAAAGCGUCCGUAGCUGGCCGUGCAAGUCUGUUGGGAAAUCUGCUCGCUCAACGAGCAGGCGUCCGGCAGAAACUGCGCGGCCUGGGACCGAGCGAUCCGAGGGGUACGUCUGGGGUAGGAGUGAAAUCCCGUAAUCCUGGACGGACCACCGGUGGCGAAAGCACCUCGGAAGAUCGGCUCCGACAGUGAGGGACGAAAGCUGGGGUCACGAACCGGAUUAGAUACCCGGGUAGUCCCAGCUGUAAACGAUGCCAGUUAGGUUUGGCGCGGGCUACGAGCUCGUGCUGUGCCGCAGUGAAGACGAUAAACUGGCCGCCUGGGAAGUACGUCCGCAAGGAUGAAACUUAAAGGAAUUGGCGGGGGAGCACUACAACCGGAGGAGCCUGCGGUUUAAUUGGAGUCAACGCCGGA